ACGAACGCUGGCGGCGUGCCUAAUACAUGCAAGUCGAGCGAAGUUUUUCUGGUGCUUGCACUAGAAAAACUUGGCGGCGAACGGGUGAGUAACCCGUAAAGAACCUGCCUCAUAGCCUGGGACAACUAUUGGAAACGAUAGCUAAUACCGGAUAACAGUAUUUCUCGCAUGAGAGAUAUUUAAAAGUUGGUUAUGCUAAACCUAUGGGUUGGCUUUGCGGUGCAUUAGCUAGUUGGUGGGGUAAAGGCCCACCAAGGCGACGAUGCAUAGCCGACCUGAGAGGGUGAUCGGCCACACUGGGACUGAGACACGGCCCAGACUCCUACGGGAGGCAGCAGUAGGGAAUCUUCCGCAAAGGGCGAAAGCCUGACGGAGCAACGCCGCGUGAGUGAAGAAGGAUUUCGGUUCGUAAAGCUCUGUUGUUAGGGAAGAAUGGAUAUGUAGUAACUAUACAUGUAAGAGACGGUACCUAACCAGAAAGCCACGGCUAACUACGUG
Molecule: ribosomal RNA, 498 nt
Filed under: uncultured bacterium
Lineage: Bacteria
Description: partial 16S ribosomal RNA
Rfam family: Bacterial small subunit ribosomal RNA
Source: RNAcentral